This 380-nucleotide ribosomal RNA is filed under the name uncultured cyanobacterium. RNAcentral's name for it is "bacterial SSU rRNA". It matches the Rfam family "Bacterial small subunit ribosomal RNA", at positions 376 to 770 of the family's 1533-position model. Lineage: Bacteria; Bacillati; Cyanobacteriota. The record is from RNAcentral.
CGAAAGCCUGACGGAGCAAUACCGCGUGAGGGAGGAAGGCUCUUGGGUUGUAAACCUCUUUUCUCAGGGAAGAACAAAAUGACGGUACCUGAGGAAUCAGCAUCGGCUAACUCCGUGCCAGCAGCCGCGGUAAUACGGAGGAUGCAAGCGUUAUCCGGAAUCAUUGGGCGUAAAGCGUCCGCAGGUGGCUUUUCAAGUCUGCUGUCAAAGCCCGGGGCUCAACCCUGGAGAGGCAGUGGAAACUGGGGAGCUAGAGUACGGUAGGGGUAGAGGGAAUUCCCGGUGUAGCGGUGAAAUGCGUAGAUAUCGGGAAGAACACCAGUGGCGAAGGCGCUCUGCUGGACCGUAACUGACACUCAUGGACGAAAGCUAGGGGAGCG